UGGGGAAUAUUGCACAAUGGGCGCAAGCCUGAUGCAGCCAUGCCGCGUGUGUGAAGAAGGCCUUCGGGUUGUAAAGCACUUUCAGCGAGGAGGAAGGGUAGUGUGUUAAUAGCACAUUGCAUUGACGUUACUCGCAGAAGAAGCACCGGCUAACUCCGUGCCAGCAGCCGCGAUAAUACGGAGGGUGCAAGCGUUAAUCGGAAUUACUGGGCGUAAAGCGCACGCAGGCGGUUUGUUAAGUCAGAUGUGAAAUCCCCGCGCUUAACGUGGGAACUGCAUCUGAAACUGGCAAGCUAGAGUCUUGUAGAGGGGGGUAGAAUUCCAGGUGUAGCGGUGAAAUGCGUAGAGAUCUGGAGGAAUACCGGUGGCGAAGGCGGCCCCCUGGACAAAGACUGACGCUCAGGUGCGAAAGCGUGGGGAGCAAACA
Molecule: ribosomal RNA, 427 nt
Filed under: uncultured bacterium
Lineage: Bacteria
Description: partial 16S ribosomal RNA
Rfam family: Bacterial small subunit ribosomal RNA
Source: RNAcentral